AUGUUAAUUAAAUCCUCUCUCUUCCCCCCUCGCCCCCUCCCCCCCUCUCUCUCUCUCUCUCUCUUCCUCUCCCACUCUCCCCACAAUGACCAGACGAAGCCUUAAUGGAAGACGAAAGGCAAAAUCCGAAAUACAUACCCACGCCCACACCCUUUCGUUGUUAUUCUUUUUUGGAACGCUGUCUUGCAAAUUAUAGGAAAGUUUAGUAAUUGCAAUUUAAGUUCGUGGAAUCGUAUUUGCUGUCAAGCCUUUUAAUUAUGCUCAGAGAAGAGGAUUUUUCUAUUUAAGCGAAUAUAAGUGGAGUGAACAUUGACUGAUGACCAAAGAGAUGAAUUUGAGGACGUGCUACAUGUGUUGACUUUAGAAAGAACCCAUAUUAAAGAAACUAUAAGUUUUUCCUUGGAUAAUACUGAUACGGCUAGAGAGCUAAUUGUUUAGCUGAUUUUACUGUAAUUUGUUUUUUUGCUCGUUGAAUAAGAUCUCGAGCCGCGUAAUGCCUUUUAAGCUAUGAACUUAAUCUCAAUUUAAGAUUGGCUCUGGAAUAGCAUGGGCAAUGAGGCUAAAAUUGUUAAUUAUGUAUUCAAGUUCUAGACUAUCCAUUUGAUACAUUAUAAUUUUUUGUACGUAGCCGAUGGAGGUAGUGUUGCAGGCAAAAGAUGCACUGGAAUCGGCUUAUAGAGGAAAAGAUGCUGUCAAGUCAAUCUGGUUCUUGUUUAUUCAAAAAUAUUUCAUGAUUUUGUGGUCAACAUAUCUGAGGAAAUUCUGAAGGUUAAAAAAGAAGUUGAAACUGAGUUUUCUGGUGUUGAUCCAAGUUGGGGUCAUGGGGAAAGCAAUGUUCCAAAUCAGGCUCAAGGUCGUUAUUCUGAAACAUAUAACCGUAACUGGCGAAAUUGGCCUGCACAGUUUCUUGUUACUGGAGAGAGAUCCUAGGAAGCUAUUCGAGACAGAGACUUUGGUGGUCGGUUUGAUUCUAGGCAACAAGAAGUAAACCAAUACAAUAGGCAAGAGCAGCUGAGGUUGCAGUUUGCAAGAUCUUAAAACCAUGGGGUAAUUAAAGAUAAUCCUUAAUACUGGUGUUUUCUUGCACUUAAUCUUUGUUUUUGAGUGCCUGUGUGAACUAAAAGCAUGUUGGACAUGUUUAUAAUGGUUUAAAUUAUAAAUAAAUAGAAAUAAGUAGUGGAUAAAUAGAUAGUGGUUGUGUGUACCUCGAAAUGAGUGGAUAAUUAGUGUGAGGGUUUGUAAACAGUUUAUAUACAUUAGCCAAACAUAGGCUUAAGUACCUGAUCCAAAUCAACAAGCUAUCCUAUCAUUUUCUUUUGUAAAAUAUAGAAAAAAAGUUAGUAAGUUCCACGAAAUCUUGUAUGUACUAUUUGUUAGAUCAAAAGAUACUGUUUUAUUACAAUUCAAUAUUAUUGGAA
This is a long non-coding RNA of Olea europaea var. sylvestris, 1418 nucleotides long. RefSeq lists it as uncharacterized. The record is from RefSeq and is a predicted model, not a curated record. Lineage: Eukaryota; Viridiplantae; Streptophyta; Magnoliopsida; Lamiales; Oleaceae. The transcript is spliced from 5 exons.